Molecule: non-coding RNA, 1712 nt
Organism: Thamnophis sirtalis
Lineage: Eukaryota; Metazoa; Chordata; Lepidosauria; Squamata; Natricidae
Source: RefSeq, a predicted model, not a curated record
GGAUGCGAGGGAUCUGUAGAUAUUUUCACAGCCCUCUUUGACUCGUGCAACAUACAUGUCUUCAAUGGAAGGUGGAUUGGUAGCAAUCGUUUUUCCUGCCGUUCUGAUUAUCCUCUGAAGUCUGUGUCUGUCCUGUUGGGUUGCAGAACCAAACCAGACAGUUAUAAAGGUGCAGAUGACAGACUCAAUAAUUCCUCUGUAGAAUUGAAUAAUGAUCAACUUGUUAUAAGGAGCUGAUGUUCCUGGCGCUGUUCCUUUUUUAAAUGCAUAUUCUGAGUAAAGAAAACUGACGUUCAAAGUGGCCAAAGAAAGACAGAUCUAAAGGCCAGCAAAAAAUACAGUUUCACUGCGCUAUUCCAGCGAUGGAAAAAAGAUGUUUUUCAUCAGAGCAACACGGUUUUAUGAUCACCGGUUUGUGAGAUUAAUGAAUUGGUACUUUAUGUUAACUGGAAUCCCAGUGCUUCUUGUUGUAGCCUAUGCUAAUAUCUUUAUAGGUAAGUACAUCUGCACUUUAGAAUCUUCUGUUCAAGUUUGUACUGCUGAAUAUUGCAGAUAAUUGUAUCCUUAUUGAAUGACUGCUGUUUCAGUGAUAUUGAAUUGAUUCUGUUUUCCUUGUACAAGAGAAGAACCAUCAGCUAAAUGUUUAUGGAGAUACUCAAUUAUCCACAUCAUGGUUGUUACAAAGGUACUUUUCCCAAAUGGCUACCGGACUUUCUUGGGUUUUUUUUUUCCUUUGAAAACAUUUCAUCUCUCGUCCUCUCAAGCUUCUUCAGUUCUAACUGACUGGUGGAGAAUGUAAGGAUUUAUAGUGAAAUAUUUCCAAAGGAAUGGGGGGACGACAACAAGAAAGUCCGGGUGCCUUUUGGAAAAAGCACCUUUGGGAAGAACCAUCCUUCUUCUCCAUUAUGUGCCCUCCAGAUAUUUGGACUUCAAAUCAAUUCCUUUGGAAUUUUAGAAAUUUCAGUCUAAUUAAUUCCCAGCUUGAUGACGGCUGGGCUACAGAAUUUUUUAAAAAGCCCCAAAAGAAGUUUCUUGAUGGUUUUCUGCUUUUUCUUGGCUUAUGAAAUUGAUAAUGGACUAAAUCACGUUGCAUCUUCAUGGCUCUCUUUAUUACAAGGAGAUUUGGCUUAAGAUCUAAAGCUCCUAGCUUUCUGGAUGUAUGUUCAAAGUGCUCUUUUUAUUCAUUUGCUUCUUUUUUAUGCAGUAGCCUAAAGUUGCUUUCUUAAAUUAUGUCCUAUUGUGAUAUAUCCUAAUUGUGAAAUUCCCAUUUCAUUUGGAUAAUGUUGUCAUUCUUCUGUUUCCAGCCCCAAAUUCAGACAUACUGGUCAUCCACAAAUGUAUUAAAUUGGUACUGCUCUUUGGUAUUUCCCUGCACCAUAGCUUUGUGGUUUUACACUUGUUAAAUGGUUUUAUAUUGUGUUGCAAUCAAACUUUUUUUUUAAUUUAUUAGAAAUGCUUUAAAUUGUUCCCCCCUUUGGAAUCAUUUAAAAAAUGGAUUAACAUGAUAACACAAAGAUGAUGAUUGGCAUAUGUAAAAUGUGAAUCAAAACAUCAAAAAAGUAUUGCAUAAUCCCUGCUGCGUAAAAGUACAAUACAUGUUAUAUUUUUUGUUUUAUAUUUAAAUAGCUGUGGAAGCUAUUUAUUCACCACUAGCUGAUAACCUGGUGCUACUUGGGUAUUUAGUUAUCCAACCCUCCUUCCAUUAACGCCGC